RNAcentral lists this unclassified non-coding RNA (315 nucleotides) under Hevea brasiliensis (rubber tree). The record is from RNAcentral. Lineage: Eukaryota; Viridiplantae; Streptophyta; Magnoliopsida; Malpighiales; Euphorbiaceae.
UAAAAUGGUAAACAUCAAACCAAAGAAAGAGCUGAAGAUCAACUUUCGUGUUACAUGGACUGGGUAUGAGUAUCUGAACAUGUUCAGGGUUCAGACUCUUGUUUUCCAAAAUUUUAUAGUUUUUCUUUUAACUUGAAGGGUCAAGGUUUCAUACCAAAGUUCAAGUAACUUUAUCUGAUUGGUUAAGCGAAGAGUCGAAGUAACUAUAAAUAACUAGUUAAUUAAGGAAGUGGAUAGUUUCAGCAGCAGAAAUUCAGUUCACGGUCUUUCAAAUUUUACUAUAUGAAAAUACCUGGUUGACUGUCUUUGAUCCAA